Long non-coding RNA from Peromyscus maniculatus bairdii (prairie deer mouse), 1792 nucleotides. RefSeq lists it as uncharacterized. Lineage: Eukaryota; Metazoa; Chordata; Mammalia; Rodentia; Cricetidae. The record is from RefSeq and is a predicted model, not a curated record.
ACGGUCACCUAACACAAGCUGGACAUUAAUACGCAAACACAGCAGGGAUGCCUUUGGAGGGGGGCAGUGGAAGGAGAGCUUGCUGUUCCAAGUGUUUAAACUGUCAUUUAAAUUUUAUCGUUUCUUUAAUAUUGAGGAGGUACACCAAAGCAUUAACAAGAUAAGCACAAGGACUCUGCUCUGAGCUUUAAUUCCACCACCAGCGAUCAUGUAGCACGUAUUCUUAUGAGAUCAGGAAAUAUAAAAAGACGUAUAAAUAAUUUAGAAAAGAGACUUCUCGAGACAGCUCCCUGUUGGCAGCCCGGGAGAUCUGCUAGCAUCCAGGCCCACGCCGGAUGGGGCGGGGCUUCCAGGCCCUCAGCCCCGCCCACUUAAGCUUCUUCCAAAUUCGGGAGCUCGAACCCGGAGUGACCACGCCCCAGGACCACAGCAGGAGACUGCGGACUUCCCUCUGCAGGGCAAUGCCCACCGGAACCCGUGCAGCCGGACAGCAGCCAAAAUCAGCCGCAGGAUUUGGUCCUGUGCCGCCUCUAUCGCGAGAGCCAGACUUCCCGAGGCCGGGAAUGAGGUGUCCUCCGGAAGGGACAAGGCACCCCAAAUGGUUCCCAGGCCCUGGCACGUGAUUAGCCUCAUGUACUUAUCCCGGUCCUUGGCUCCAGGAACUCCAUGCAGAAGUUACCUAGCUCAGGAGCUUCUAGGGCGCCGGAGCUGUCCGCCGCCUGGUGCUGAAAGGGACAAGGCGGGUGCGAGAUGGCCUGCUGCCAGGCCGGCCACAGGACGGGUACCGCCACUGCUUGGGGAGGGCAGUGACGCGCGAUGCUUGGCUGUUUCGUGGCACGCCCACGGCGUCCUGGCACAGGGAUUUGACCCAAACGCGUUUUUUUAAAAAGAUGUCCAGCACCUUGCACCUGGAUUGGAACCCACGUGGAUACCGUUCUGCCUCCCAAGCCAACCGUGCGGAUGCUGAAAUUGACGUUGGAAAGAUGUGAUUUCUCUCCGGAAUUUACCUUUAUCCAGCUGCUCCGCCCACAUUGAAUGGUUCCGUGUACCGUGGGGUGUAACUUAGAGUGACAUCCCUUGUACUGCCUGCUUGCUGGGCACAGGCAUGGCAAGAACCAAGUUGUCCUUAGUGGCUCCCUCUUGGCAGCCCCUCCUCCCAGGUGAAAAACAAGAUGUGACUGGUAGGUGGCAGCACUGACUUAAGCUAUACUGUCCUAUCGUAAGGUGUGGCCACUGCACUGUCCGGCUGCUCUACAGGCCUGGGCUCCAGGCAGGCCGGCAGCACUGGUGGUCUUGGGCAUUUGAGGGUCCCUGUUUACCCAAAAUUAAAAAAAGUGUAUUUGGUCAAUUGACCAUUUACUGUAUUCUACCUUCUUCAGGCCACAUUGCUUUGCCCACUGCUGUCUCUCUCAUCUGUGUACGGCUUGGCACACCCUCAUACUAAUGUCUGUCCACAGAAUGAAUCGACAGGCCAAGGGCAGCCAGCCACCUGUGCUCUUUCCUGGUGCUCACCAAGCUUGAGCCCUUGGGAAGGGAUCAAACUGGGGGAGAUACAGGCAGGUCCUGUUGGAGUAAAAGUCCGGGGUGUGGAUUCAGCAAUCGGGACCUGAUAUCGUUGAUUCACUUCCUAGCAUACCAGAAGCCUGGAAAAGUUCCAGUUCAACUCUCCUGAAAACAAUUCACCAGGCUCUGCCCUCAGUGUCUGUUCCUGUUUCGAGUUCCUGCCCUGACUUUAUUCAUGAUAGACUGUGUUUCUGGACCCACAAGCUGAAAUAAACCCUUUCCUCUCCAA